This is a long non-coding RNA of Lutra lutra (Eurasian river otter), 561 nucleotides long. RefSeq lists it as uncharacterized. The record is from RefSeq and is a predicted model, not a curated record. The transcript has 3 exons. NCBI's taxonomy places the organism in Eukaryota, Metazoa, Chordata, Mammalia, Carnivora, Mustelidae.
UUACAUCUAGACUAGAAGGACAAUGAAUGAAUUAUAAGUGCCUAAUGGGGAUGCCAUAAUGUUGAGCUUUCAUGUGUACAAAGACUCCUAGAACUGGGUGUGUCCUUGCAGGCACCCUGGAAGCUUUGAUAUGGAGCUGUUGUUACAAGAGACAUAGGCUACUAUAGCAUGAGUCUGGAUACCCACACCCGCCCAAAGUACAUCUCAUUUCCUGGGCCAAAGUUGUCACCUGGGGACCAAACAUGACUAGAUCUUGGACUGCUGUGGAGACUCCUGGGAAUAGGAAAGUCCUGGUGCUACCCUUAAGCAGGCUAUUCUUGGACUGCAACAAGCAUGUCCUAUGGUCAGUUACAGCUAGCGAAGCACUUGGAAUAGUUAACUUAGCUAGAGCAACAUCUAAAGGAGGGGAAGGCAAUGCUCACUACUGGCCUAGGACUUCAACAUACUGUAUAAGAGUUCAUAUCAUCUCACAACACUCCCUUCAGGUUGGCUUCAUUCUUAACAUUUUCCUCAUGGCCACAAGAUGGUUGCCGGCAACACUGGUUCAUACUUAGCCUGAAA